This 313-nucleotide unclassified non-coding RNA is filed under the name plant metagenome. RNAcentral's name for it is "partial contains 5.8S ribosomal RNA, internal transcribed spacer 2, and large subunit ribosomal RNA". The stretch from base 1 to 105 matches the Rfam family "5.8S ribosomal RNA", at positions 50 to 154 of the family's 154-position model. The record is from RNAcentral.
GAAAUGCGAUACGUAGUGUGAAUUGCAGAAUUCAGUGAAUCAUCGAAUCUUUGAACGCACAUUGCGCCCUUUGGUAUUCCAAAGGGCAUGCCUGUUCGAGCGUCAUUUGUACCCUCGAGCUUUGCUUGGUGUUGGGCGUUUUUUGUCUUUGGCUCGCCCAAAGACUCGCCUUAAAACGAUUGGCAGCCGGCCUACUGGUUUCGCAGCGCAGCACAUUUUUGCGCUUGCAAUCAGCAAAAGAGGACGGCAAUCCAUCAAGACUCCUUCUCACGUUUGACCUCGGAUCAGGUAGGGAUACCCGCUGAACUUAAGC